UCCUGGGAUAACACUGACGUUCAUGCUCGAAAGCGUGGGUAGCAAACAGGAUUAGAUACCCUGGUAGUCCACGCCCUAAACGAUGUCAAUUAGCUGUUGGGCAACUUGAUUGCUUAGUAGCGUAGCUAACGCGUGAAAUUGACCGCCUGGGGAGUACGGUCGCAAGAUUAAAACUCAAAGGAAUUGACGGGGACCCGCACAAGCGGUGGAUGAUGUGGAUUAAUUCGAUGCAACGCGAAGAACCUUACCUGGUCUUGACAUGUACGGAAUCCUCCAGAGACGGAGGAGUGCCUUCGGGAGCCGUAACACAGGUGCUGCAUGGCUGUCGUCAGCUCGUGUCGUGAGAUGUUGGGUUAAGUCCCGCAACGAGCGCAACCCUUGUCAUUAGUUGCCAUCAUUUAGUUGGGCACUCUAAUGAGACUGCCGGUGACAAGCCGGAGGAAGGUGGGGAUGACGUCAAGUCCUCAUGGCCCUUAUGACCAGGGCUUCACACGUCAUACAAUGGUCGGUACAGAGGGUAGCCAAGCCGCGAGGUGGAGCCAAUCUCACAAAACCGAUCGUAGUCCGGAUUGCACUCUGCAACUCGAGUGCAUGAAGUCGGAAUCGCUAGUAAUCGCAGGUCAGCAUACUGCGGUGAAUACGUUCCCGGGUCUUGUACACACCGCCCGUCACACCAUGGGAGUGGGGGAUACCAGAAGUAGGUAGGGUAACCGCAAGGAGCCCGCUUACCACGGUAUGCUUCAUGACUGGGGUGAAGUCGUAACAAGGUAGCCGUAGGGGAACC
This 784-nucleotide ribosomal RNA is filed under the name uncultured Neisseria sp. RNAcentral's name for it is "bacterial SSU rRNA". It matches the Rfam family "Bacterial small subunit ribosomal RNA", at positions 727 to 1512 of the family's 1533-position model. Lineage: Bacteria; Pseudomonadati; Pseudomonadota; Betaproteobacteria; Neisseriales; Neisseriaceae. The record is from RNAcentral.